Oncorhynchus kisutch (coho salmon) is the source of this 2969-nucleotide long non-coding RNA. RefSeq lists it as uncharacterized. NCBI's taxonomy places the organism in Eukaryota, Metazoa, Chordata, Actinopteri, Salmoniformes, Salmonidae. The transcript is spliced from 7 exons. The record is from RefSeq and is a predicted model, not a curated record.
UCUUUCCCUCAACACCCCAUGGCAUGGUAUGCUAUCUUAUCUCGCUGUAUACAGAUCUAAAUGUUGUUAGCCAAACAUGGACUGUGUUACCAGUUCCCAGUAACCUACAUCGGACAACCAAUAACAGUUGUGUCCAUGGCUUUCUGUCGAAUAGAGGAGUUCAUAAGCUUUCCGUGAGGGUCUUCCUCAAUCAAGUAGAAAUGUAAAAUGGUUAAGUUUAGUGUUAGUUUAGGGUAAAGAUGUCCCAAGGAAUCCGGAUAGCAGUGACCGUUCAUAGAGUUAGAGACGGACACGGUAUUUGAGAGCUCAGCCACGACACGAAAUUCAUAUGAAAUUCAUAAAAUAUAUAUGUGCAAGCGCCAGACGCAAUUUUCGAGAUAGUUUCCUAGAGACGAUGAAAAUAAUUACCAAGAUGUCAUUGAUCCGAUUGAGUAGAGAACCAAGAAAUGAAGAGCGACACCACGGCUGUCUUUUAGGCUUUUAUGUUGAUCUGCAAUAGUAUUGUGAAAAGACAGGACAGGAACACAUCAGUCUCCAAUGCACCAUCUGACCAGUUGUUCUACACAGGAGCAUGAAGAAAGACCGUAGAGGGCCAAACUACAUCUCCCAUAAUGCAACGCCAGCACCGGUCGGCAGCUCAGCUAACCGUCUACAUCACAGAAAGGCAUGCUAUGGACUUCUACAAAGGAGUCAUCUGCAACACAUCCCUUUGGCUUUGGGGUUGACCAGUGAAAUAUACCUGCUGGAGCGCAUGCUACAGGACUGCCAUGGGCAAGUCUCUUGACGUGUACCAGGAAUGGUGGGAGGCCAAUCUGAAGGUAAUUAUCUUCGCACACAACAGCAGCGUCCAGGCCUCCAGAGUACUCACCCUAUCGCCUGCUGUACGGACGGGAGCUGCAGCUGUUUACGGAGGUAAACAAUGCAAUUGUAUAUACAAUUAUUGCAUAUACUGUAGUAUAAAAAAGUGUGUUUAGUGAGUUUUGUCUAUUGCUAUUUUUGUAUAACAUACUUUGAGAUCACCGAAACUCCACCUGAUGUGGUGGAAGUUGUCAAACCAGAUCAGAAGGCCUCGAGGACCACCUUCAGGCAUGGGCUGAGAAGGAUGUGGAUCAGGUGAGACUGAACAUGGACAUAGCGCAGGAGAAACAGGAUUGCCAUUGGAGGAGAAUCAAGGGUACCAAGUGUUUCAAAAUCUGGGUGAAUGGCUUGGAAGAAGGAUGAAAGGAAGGCAAGACCUGGGAAACCUUGCUGCUAUUUUGCUCCAAGCUGGGCUCACCAUCUGUUAAGGGACCAUCCCUUACCUCCCUCAUCAACCCCACUGACAAACAAUUAGACAGGACCUAGGGGUUCUGCCCAACACCCAGACAUGGAGCCACCUGAUGUCCUCCAUUACCCACCACCCUCCAACUUUUCAUUACAUCAGCUACUGUUAUUGUCAUGUUGUCAUUAUCUGCUAAGAAAGAGCAAGAAAACUAUCAUACUGGGCACAUAAUGUGAGAUGCACAGAUUAACUAAAAACACUCGCACUGCAAACACUCAGAACAAAGAGAGCAGCAGCACCUUGACUUUGCAGUCUCCCUUCCGAGACGGACUGCCUGUUGAAAACAAGUGACAGGCAGAACCUCCCAUCCACACAGCACCCACAUCCUGUCUAUUCCACACACCAGAAUUCAGGGGGGGUAAAUGAAGUCAAAUCAUUGCAUCAGUGAUUUUAAGGUCAGAGAAAGAUGCCAGAGUUUCUGAAUUGGAAUGCCAAGUUGGACGACUGUUAAAGAACCAAAAAUCCCAGUCUGAGUUUAUUUUGUUCUGAGUUCCCAGUUGUCAUGAAAGCACUGAAGUCAGAGAUUGCCAAGUUCCGAGUUGUUUUGAUUGCGCCCCUAGAGACCGAGUGUACUUCUUAUCUCCAAAUAUGGCUAGCUCCUACAAAGAAGUCCUUGUGGCUGUAUUGAUGUGAGAAAUAGUCAUAUCUACACAGUAAAGGUGAAUGGCUGCGAUAUCAACUAGGCUAAUAUUUUUUGUACGAGGUAAUAGGCCUAUUUUAGCUAAAUCGACAAAUGAAAUUGACUAGAUUACUCUGGCAAUUAAAAAUAUUUUUGACAAAAUCAUGUAGAUGUUUGUAAGGUGUUCAUGGUGAGAUAUUUAAUAAUAAACUAAACAGACACAAACUAGCACGUGACUCAUAACACAUGUGGUCGUUUUUAAGGGCAUCCAUGGUAAGAUCUUUCAUAAGAAGCAAACUGACGUGAGGUGGUCGAUGCCACAUUACAUGACGUGUACACGUCGGCAGUUUGAUGCCUUAGAAAAAAGAAAAAAAAACUUGUUUCCAUUGACCGUUCACGUUAAUUCAUGGCGGUAUUUUAUGGCACUUAUCAUUCCCCAUAGCAGUGUCACUGCUCAAUAUGGUAGCUGCGUGAGUGGGAGAGAGAUGCCCGUGUGCUUCGUGGUUUACCGGAUCGUUUUUCUGCAGUUUUAUUGAAGAUCACUCGCGACCCACUGUAAUGAAGUGCUAUUUCCUAUGCAAAUGACCAGCUUACUGCUAUUGCAUUGCUAUAACUGAGACAACACAUAGCAACGUAUUUUCACAGUAAAACAUGGUAGGGCCCAUACAGGAUAUCUCUCACACACACACUCACUGAAAAGACACACAGACUUGCCAAGACAGGAACGCACACUUACACACACGCAGCCCCUCCCCUUCUGGAUGGGCUCCAAAGACAAAGAACUCUGUCGAGAACCAAUGGGAUACUGACACCAGGCUGGAGGAGACUGUCUAUCAUCUACAAACAACCUACCAGAAGCCAGGACUACCAGAAUCUACCUACGUCAUUUCAAUGUAUAAAAUGAACUGUACGAUAUGUGUCCGGUCUCUUUUUUCCAAUGGUUCGCAUGAGAACUUGACGAAACGGAGCCGUGCCGCACGAAUUGCCAGAUAUCAUUACUCCUGAAUAAACGGCCUUUACUAUACCGUA